Molecule: ribosomal RNA, 112 nt
Filed under: uncultured bacterium
Lineage: Bacteria
Description: partial 16S ribosomal RNA
Rfam family: Bacterial small subunit ribosomal RNA
Source: RNAcentral
ACACCGCCCGUCACACCAUGAGAGUUGGGGAUACCCAAAGCCCGUGAGCCAACUUUAGAGGCAGCAGUGAAGGUAGAAUCAAUGGAUUGGGGUGAAGUCGUAACAAGGUAUC